This 206-nucleotide unclassified non-coding RNA is filed under the name Hevea brasiliensis (rubber tree). The record is from RNAcentral. Lineage: Eukaryota; Viridiplantae; Streptophyta; Magnoliopsida; Malpighiales; Euphorbiaceae.
CCGGUCACAUUUUACGACGUACCAGUAACAGCAAUCUGUGUUUGGAUCCCAUGAAGCUAAAUGGUAAGGAUUGCCUAAGUCUUUCUUUAUUUGUAGAAGGACUUUUUUGUCUUUCGGAUUGCAUCUUACUGAUAGUGAAGGAGAAGCAAAGCAAAGAAAAAUAACUACAAGAAGAAGAGACAAGUUCAUAUUCUCUCUUCUUUUUU